RNAcentral lists this ribosomal RNA (417 nucleotides) under uncultured bacterium. RNAcentral's name for it is "bacterial SSU rRNA". It matches the Rfam family "Bacterial small subunit ribosomal RNA", at positions 358 to 773 of the family's 1533-position model. The record is from RNAcentral.
GGAAUAUUGGGCAAUGGGCGGGAGCCUGACCCAGCCAUGCCGCGUGCAGGAAGAAGGCGUUAUGCGGUGUAAACUGCUUUUAUACGGGAAGCAAAGGCCCAUGCGUGGGACAUUACCGGUACCGUAUGAAUAAGCAACGGAGCAAUACGUGCCAGCAGCCGCGGUAAUACGGAGGGUGCAAGCGUUGUCCGGAUUUAUUGGGUUUAAAGGGUGCGUAGGCGGCCGAUUAAGUCAGCGGUGAAAGGCUGUGGCUCAACCAUAGAAGCGCCGUUGAUACUGGUCGGCUUGAGUGCCGUAUGGGUACAUGGAAUUGAUGGUGUAGCGGUGAAAUGCAUAGAUACCAUCAGGAACACCGAUAGCGUAGGCAUUGUACUGUGCGGCAACUGACGCUGAGGCACGAAAGCAUGGGUAGCGAAC